UGAAAAGCUAUGAGCAGGAGUAGUAAUAUUUUUUCACUUAUAAGAGAGCUUGUUGGUUGGUGUAAAACAGCAGUGAACAAUAUGAACUUGCCUGGGAGCAUAUCUGUUAAAAACAGAUACGGUUUUACCGUUAAAAAGUAUAGUAAGUAGAAGACUUUUUAAGUCUUAAUUAGAGUGGUACCGCGGAGAUUAAUAACCUUCGUCUCUUAA
Regulatory RNA element from Clostridium tetani E88, 210 nucleotides. It matches the Rfam family "T-box leader". Rfam says of the family: Uncharged tRNA acts as the effector for transcription antitermination of genes in the T-box leader family. T-boxes are found upstream of many aminoacyl-tRNA synthetase genes and some amino acid biosynthetic genes usually in Gram-positive bacteria. NCBI's taxonomy places the organism in Bacteria, Bacillati, Bacillota, Clostridia, Eubacteriales, Clostridiaceae. The record is from Rfam.